AAUAAAUUAAUUUUUUAUUUUUUAUCUUUAAUUUUUGACUCAUCGUUUUAUUUAAAAAAAUUUUGCGAUUGAUAUUUUUGUUUUUAUUAGAUGAUAAAUCAUGAAUAGUACCUUACGUGUGACUAAUUUUUUUUUCAAUUUUCUGAAAAUUUUUCAAAUAAGACAGAUGGUCAAACGUUGGAUACGAAAAUCGGAGAAUUUAUU
Molecule: microRNA precursor, 204 nt
Filed under: Oryza brachyantha (malo sina)
Lineage: Eukaryota; Viridiplantae; Streptophyta; Magnoliopsida; Poales; Poaceae
Description: MIR812 microRNA precursor family
Rfam family: MIR812 microRNA precursor family
Source: Rfam by way of RNAcentral